RNAcentral lists this long non-coding RNA (297 nucleotides) under Marmota monax (woodchuck). The record is from RNAcentral. Lineage: Eukaryota; Metazoa; Chordata; Mammalia; Rodentia; Sciuridae.
ACCAGUACUGGCCCUAGUUGUCAAGUUCUCCAUUCAUCUUUGCAGGUGGUCAGGACAGGUACAGCACAGGCAGUGACAGUGCAAGCUUUCCCCACACCACCACGUCCAUGUGCCUCAACCCUGACCUGGAGGGACAACCUCUAGAGGCCUAUACCAUUCAAGGACAGUAUGCCAUUCCACAGCCAGAUUUGACCAAGCUGCACCAGUUGGCAAUGCAAUACUCUCAUUUUCCUAUGACGCAUGGUAACACUGGAUUCAGUGCAGGAUUGGAUGCAUCUGCUCAGACUACUUCUCAUG